GAUGAAGAACGCAGCGAAAUGCGAUACGUAAUGUGAAUUGCAGAAUUCAGUGAAUCAUCGAGUCUUUGAACGCACAUUGCGCCCCCUGGUAUUCCGGGGGGCAUGCCUGUCCGAGCGUCAUUGCUGCCCUCAAGCGCGGCUUGUGUGUUGGGCCUCCGUCCUCCUCCCGGGGGACGGGCCCGAAAGGCAGCGGCGGCACCGCGUCCGGUCCUCGAGCGUAUGGGGCUUCGUCACCCGCUCUUGUAGGCCCGGCCGGCGCUUGCCGACACAUCAAUCUUUUUUCCAGGUUGACCUCGGAUCAGGUAGGGAUACCCGCUGAACUUAAGCAUAUCAAUAAGCGGAGGA
This 345-nucleotide unclassified non-coding RNA is filed under the name soil metagenome. RNAcentral's name for it is "partial contains 5.8S ribosomal RNA, internal transcribed spacer 2, and large subunit ribosomal RNA". The stretch from base 1 to 120 matches the Rfam family "5.8S ribosomal RNA", at positions 35 to 154 of the family's 154-position model. The record is from RNAcentral.